GCACGUGCUCCGGGGUCGGUGCAAUUCCGAACCGGCGGUGACAGUCCGCGACCCGGCCGCAGCCAGCGGCCGGUUGACCUGGUGGAACUCCAGGACCGACGGUGAAAGUCCGGAUGGUAGGCAGCACGCAA
Molecule: regulatory RNA element, 131 nt
Organism: Phycicoccus sp. Root563
Lineage: Bacteria; Bacillati; Actinomycetota; Actinomycetes; Micrococcales; Intrasporangiaceae
Rfam family: FMN riboswitch aptamer (RFN element)
About the family: The RFN element is a highly conserved domain that is found frequently in the 5'-untranslated regions of prokaryotic mRNAs that encode for flavin mononucleotide (FMN) biosynthesis and transport proteins. This element is a metabolite-dependent riboswitch that directly binds FMN in the absence of proteins.
Source: Rfam